AUACUUACCUGGUAGGGGAGAUACCAUGAUUAUGAAGGUGGUUUUCCCAGGACAAAGCUUAUCCAUUGCACUCUAGAUGUGCUGACCCCUGUGAUUUCCCCCAAUGUGGGAAACUCAACUGCAUAAUUUGUGGUAGUGGGGGACUGUGUUAGCACUCUCCCUGA
RNAcentral lists this small nuclear RNA (164 nucleotides) under Castor canadensis (American beaver). RNAcentral's name for it is "U1 spliceosomal RNA (ENSCCNG00000012850.1)". It matches the Rfam family "U1 spliceosomal RNA". Rfam says of the family: U1 is a small nuclear RNA (snRNA) component of the spliceosome (involved in pre-mRNA splicing). Its 5' end forms complementary base pairs with the 5' splice junction, thus defining the 5' donor site of an intron. There are significant differences in sequence and secondary structure between metazoan and yeast U1 snRNAs, the latter being much longer (568 nucleotides as compared to 164 nucleotides in human). The record is from Rfam by way of RNAcentral. Lineage: Eukaryota; Metazoa; Chordata; Mammalia; Rodentia; Castoridae.